GGAUCCAUAGCUCAAUGGCAGAGCAGGCGACUCAUAAUCGCUUGGUUGUAGGUUCGAAUCCUACUGGAUCCA
This 72-nucleotide transfer RNA is filed under the name Anaerolineae bacterium. Its description in RNAcentral is "tRNA-Ile". It matches the Rfam family "tRNA". From Rfam's summary of the family: Transfer RNA (tRNA) molecules are approximately 80 nucleotides in length. Their secondary structure includes four short double-helical elements and three loops (D, anti-codon, and T loops). The record is from RNAcentral. Lineage: Bacteria; Bacillati; Chloroflexota; Anaerolineae.